CCUACGGGCGGCAGCAGUGAGGAAUAUUGGUCAAUGGGCGCGAGCCUGAACCAGCCAAGUAGCGUGAAGGAUGACGGCCCUACGGGUUGUAAACUGCGUUUAUAAAGGAAUAAAGUGAGGCACGUGUGCCUUUUUGCAUGUACCUUAUGAAUAAGGAUCGGCUAACUCCGUGCCAGCAGCCGCGGUAAUACGGAGGGACCGAGCGUUAUCCGGAUUUAUUGGGUUUAAAGGGAGCGUAGAUGGGUUGUUAAGUCAGUUGUGAAAGUUUGCGGCUCAACCGUAAAAUUGCAAUUGAUACUGGCAGCCUUGAGUACACUUGAGGUAGGCGGAAUUCGUGGUGUAGCGGUGAAAUGCUUAGAUAUCACGAAGAACUCCGAUUGCGAAGGCAGCUUACUAGACUGCCACUGACAUUGAUGCUCGAAAGUGUGGGUAUCAAACAGGAUUAGAUACCCCUGUAGUC
This 460-nucleotide ribosomal RNA is filed under the name uncultured bacterium. RNAcentral describes it as "partial 16S ribosomal RNA". It matches the Rfam family "Bacterial small subunit ribosomal RNA", at positions 338 to 795 of the family's 1533-position model. The record is from RNAcentral.